RNAcentral lists this long non-coding RNA (608 nucleotides) under Homo sapiens (human). RNAcentral describes it as "long non-coding RNA NONHSAT203638.1". The record is from RNAcentral. Lineage: Eukaryota; Metazoa; Chordata; Mammalia; Primates; Hominidae.
CAUGGAGGUGCAUCUCCAUUUCAGGCAGGAUCCCAGAGAACCCAACAGCAUCAUGCAUAUCUACAGCUCAGAAGUUUACAAGUUAAUUUGCAACUUCACAGAGGAGGAAUGAGAAUGGCAUGAGUCUCCUAGGGCUGUCGUGAGCAAAUAUGGUACCAUGUUGAGACGCCUGGGGGUGCAAAUGAAAGAGCUUUUCUGAAUGGGACUAUUACCCAGCCUUAUUGCAAUGGAAGCCUUGUUCAUACAGCGUUCCAGAGAGGACUUCUAUAAUCUCCUGCCUCAGGGACUUGAACCAGGGGAGAUGUAAGUCUGGGGCUGCUCUCACCUUCUUGCCGCUGUGUGGAGCCUGCAAAUGACAGUGAUUCCUGGAGGGGAGCAGAGCUGAGCACAUAGGUAUGGAGAAGGCAUAAUUAAGGUAAGGAUCAAGACGAGAUCACACUGGAAAAGGUGGGCCCUAAAUCCAGUGAGAGGAUAGGAAGGCCAGCACUCUUAUUCUGUCCUAAUAAGAGACAGAGACGGGCACACAGAGACACAGAAGAAGGCCAUGUGUUGAUGGAGGCAGAGACUGGAGUGAUGCCGUCCCAAGCCAGGGAGUGCCUGGCUCCGCC